This 83-nucleotide small RNA is filed under the name Marmota monax (woodchuck). Lineage: Eukaryota; Metazoa; Chordata; Mammalia; Rodentia; Sciuridae. The record is from RNAcentral.
GCCAGGCAUGGUGGCGCACACCUGUAAUCCCAGUGGCUGGGGAGGUUGAGGCAGGAGGAUGGCAAGUUCAAAGCCAGCCUCUU